GAUCAUUAACGAGUUGAACGGGGUUGUAGCUGGCCUUCACGGGCAUGUGCACACCUCACUCAUCCACUCUACACCUGUGCACUUACUGUGGGUUUCGAGAGGCCGCGCUUGCGUGGUUGAUCGGGCGCACGUCUAUUACAAACUCUUCAGUAUCAGAAUGUGUAUCGCGAUGUAACGCAUCUAUAUACAACUUUCAGCAACGGAUCUCUUGGCUCUCGCAUCGAUGAAGAACGCAGCGAAAUGCGAUAAGUAAUGUGAAUUGCAGAAUUCAGUGAAUCAUCGAAUCUUUGAACGCACCUUGCGCUCCUUGGUAUUCCGAGGAGCAUGCCUGUUUGAGUGUCGUGUAAUUCUCAACCUAUAAAUCCUUGUGGUUUUUAGGCUUGGACUUGGAGGCUUUUGCUGGCUUUACCGUCGGCUCCUCUUAAACGCAUUAGCUUGAUUCCGUGCGGAUCGGCUCUCAGUGUGAUAAUUAUCUGCGCUGUGACCGUGAAGCGUUUGGCGAGCUUCUAACCGUCUCUUCGAGACAAACACUUUGACAUCUGACCUCAAAUCAGGUAGGACUACCCGCUGAACUUUAAGCAUAUCAAUAAGCGG
Molecule: ribosomal RNA, 594 nt
Filed under: uncultured fungus
Lineage: Eukaryota; Fungi
Description: eukaryotic LSU rRNA
Rfam family: 5.8S ribosomal RNA (bases 189-342)
Source: RNAcentral